AUUGAACGCUGGCGGCAGGCCUAACACAUGCAAGUCGAGCGGAUGAAGGGAGCUUGCUCCUGGAUUCAGCGGCGGACGGGUGAGUAAUGCCUAGGAAUCUGCCUGGUAGUGGGGGAUAGCGUCCGGAAACGGGCGCUAAUACCGCAUACGUCCUGAGGGAGAAAGUGGGGGAUCUUCGGACCUCACGCUAUCAGAUGAGCCUAGGUCGGAUUAGCUAGUUGGUGGGGUAAAGGCCUACCAAGGCGACGAUCCGUAACUGGUCUGAGAGGAUGAUCAGUCACACUGGAACUGAGACACGGUCCAGACUCCUACGGGAGGCAGCAGUGGGGAAUAUUGGACAAUGGGCGGAAGCCUGAUCCAGCCAUGCCGCGUGUGCGAAGAAGGUCUUCGGAUUGUAAAGCACUUUAAGUUGGGAGGAAGGGCAGUAAGUUAAUACCUUGCUGUUUUGACGUUACCAACAGAAUAAGCACCGGCUAACUUCGUG
RNAcentral lists this ribosomal RNA (484 nucleotides) under uncultured bacterium. RNAcentral's name for it is "partial 16S ribosomal RNA". It matches the Rfam family "Bacterial small subunit ribosomal RNA", at positions 30 to 507 of the family's 1533-position model. The record is from RNAcentral.